Oncorhynchus tshawytscha (Chinook salmon) is the source of this 1076-nucleotide long non-coding RNA. Lineage: Eukaryota; Metazoa; Chordata; Actinopteri; Salmoniformes; Salmonidae. The record is from Ensembl.
GAGAGGAAGAGUGGUACUGGAAAGAGAGGAAGAGUGGUACUGGGAAGAGAAGAAGAGUGGUACUGGGAAGAGAAGAAGAGUGGUACUGGAAAGAGAAGAAGAGUGGUACUGGAAAGAGAGGAAGAGUGGUACUGGGAAGAGAAGAAGAGUGGUACUGGGAAGAGUGGUACUGGGAAGAGAAGAAGAGUGGUACUGGAAAGAGUGGUACUGGGAAGAGAGGAAGAGUGGUACUGGAAAGAGAGGAAGAGUGGUACUGGGAAGAGAAGAAGAGUGGUACUGGGAAGAGUGGUACUGGGAAGAGAAGAAGAGUGGUACUGGAAAGAGAGGAAGAGUGGUACUGGAAAGAGAAGAAGAGUGGUACUGGAAAGAGUGGUACUGGGAAGAGAGGAAGAGUGGUACUGGAAAGAGAGGAAGAGUGGUACUGGAAAGAGAGGAAGAGUGGUACUGGGAAGAGAGGAAGAGUGGUACUGGAAAGAGAAGAAGAGUGGUACUGGGAAGAGAAGAAGAGUGGUACUGGAAAGAGUGGUACUGGGAAGAGAGGAAGAGUGGUACUGGGAAGAGAAGAAGAGUGGUACUGGGAAGAGAAGAAGAGUGGUACUGGGAAGAGAGGAAGAGUGGUACUGGGAAGAGAGGAAGAGUGGUACUGGGAAGAGAGGAAGAGUGGUACUGGGAAGAGUGAGAGUGGUACUGGGAAGAGAGGAAGAGUGGUACUGGGAAGAGAGAGAGUGGUACUGGGAAGAGAGAGAGUAAGGGUCCGCAUGCUUCCCGGCCAGAACACUCAUAUAUUAUGAGGACAUGUUCGCCACACAUUUUUCUCGAGGCCGAAGUCCGUAGCCUGAAUCUAUGCUCCCUCGUCUGCGAUUGGUCAACAGUAGGGGGAUAUUUAUUGACGAUCACUUGGACAGUCAUUACCUGUUACAGUACCAACAGCUUCUCUACCUGGGGGUUCCUUCCUUAAAAAACGAUGUCAAAUAUAGGCCUGUUCAUCAUUUAUCAAGCGGACACUGCCUGUCAACAGACAAAGCUAAUAUUCAAGGGGACAACAUUCAUCACCAGGAUCAAUAUCAACAUCUGGA